AGUGAACGCUGGCGGCAGGCCUAACACAUGCAAGUCGAACGGCCGCACAGUAAGAGCUUGCUCUUACGGGUGGCGAGUGGCGGACGGGUGAGGAAUACAUCGGAAUCUACUUUUUCGUGGGGGAUAACGUAGGGAAACUUAUGCUAAUACCGCAUACGACCUACGGGUGAAAGCAGGGGAUCUUCGGACCUUGCGCGAUUGAAUGAGCCGAUGUCGGAUUAGCUAGUUGGCGGGGUAAAGGCCCACCAAGGCGACGAUCCGUAGCUGGUCUGAGAGGAUGAUCAGCCACACUGGAACUGAGACACGGUCCAGACUCCUACGGGAGGCAGCAGUGGGGAAUAUUGGGCAAUGGGCGCAAGCCUGAUCCAGCCAUACCGCGUGAGUGAAGAAGGCCUUCGGGUUGUAAAGCCCUUUUGUUGGGAAAGAAAAGCAGCAGGUUAAUACCCCGCUGUUCUGACGGUACCCAAAGAAUAAGCACCGGCUAACUUCGUG
Molecule: ribosomal RNA, 492 nt
Filed under: uncultured bacterium
Lineage: Bacteria
Description: partial 16S ribosomal RNA
Rfam family: Bacterial small subunit ribosomal RNA
Source: RNAcentral